GCCUGGUUAGCUUAGUUGGUAGUGCGUCUGCCUUGUAAGCGCUAGGCCGCGGGUUCGACUCCCGCCCGGGGCG
This 73-nucleotide transfer RNA is filed under the name Diaphorina citri (Asian citrus psyllid). It matches the Rfam family "tRNA". Rfam says of the family: Transfer RNA (tRNA) molecules are approximately 80 nucleotides in length. Their secondary structure includes four short double-helical elements and three loops (D, anti-codon, and T loops). The record is from Rfam by way of RNAcentral. Lineage: Eukaryota; Metazoa; Arthropoda; Insecta; Hemiptera; Psyllidae.